RNAcentral lists this ribosomal RNA (121 nucleotides) under Rhinogobius brunneus (Amur goby). RNAcentral describes it as "partial 16S ribosomal RNA". RNAcentral also lists the same sequence under 1 other name. The record is from RNAcentral. Lineage: Eukaryota; Metazoa; Chordata; Actinopteri; Gobiiformes; Gobiidae.
CUCUGACUCUUAACAGCUAGCCCACAACCUAAAUUCAACAAACAACAUUAAUUAAACCCACACUCCGAACCCGCUAAACAGCCAAACCAUUUUACCACCCUAGUAUUAGGCGAUAGAAAAG